This 9857-nucleotide long non-coding RNA is filed under the name Prunus persica (peach). Its description in RNAcentral is "long non-coding RNA (PPER_LNC000100)". The record is from RNAcentral. Lineage: Eukaryota; Viridiplantae; Streptophyta; Magnoliopsida; Rosales; Rosaceae.
UACAUAUAUAAAGCAAGAAACAACAUGCUCAAUCAGCCACAAGUGAAGAAACAACUUGCUGAUACAUAACCACAUGACAUGAAAAUUUCAUGCAAAUAACUAGUAAUUAUAAUGGAGUCACACUAGAAGCUGCUGCAAAAUGAGUUGGUGUCCAGAACUCUUAUUUCUAGCAAGCAACUGGCUCUCUCUCAUUUAUUCUAACUCACUAGUUGAGAUGGACAGGUGGAGUUCAGGGCUUCUGGGGUGGAUUGUAGUAUGGGGGAGGCUUCUUCUUAUAUGGAGUUGGAGGAGGAGGAGGUUUCUUCCCUUCUGGCUUUUGUGGGGGUAGAGGAGCCUUGAUUGGAGGAGGGUGUUUAGGGUAACUAGGUGUGAUUGGUUUCACAACAGGAGGUAGAGUUGGUGUCUUAGGAUAAGGUGGUGGAAGUGGCUUGGUCACCGGCGUAGGUGGCGGUGAAUGUACAAUAGGAGGCUGAGUGCUUGGUGGUUUGCCAUAAGGUGAGGAUGGUGGUGGCCUCACCACUCUAGGAGGCAGAGUUGGUGGUUUGGGUUUGGGCACUAUUGGUGGUGAUGGCUUGUUAUAAACUGGGGGUGAUGGCUUCUUGAUGGGAGCUGGGGGCUUGUAAAUAGGAGAAGGAGUUGGUGGUUUGGGUUUGGGCACUAUUGGUGGUGAUGGCUUCUUGAUGGGAGCUGGGGGCUUGUAAAUAGGAGAAGGAGUGGGUGGCUUGGGUUUUUCAUUGUACUCAGCUAGAGAUGAAGUGAUGAGAACCACCAGGCCAAACAAUAGCACAAGCAACUUUGAGUAACUCAUGGUGUUUGUGUUUUUGUGAUGGUAUAAGAUCUAGACGGCAUCGUUUGCUAUUUAUAGUGCUCUCAGGCCUGUGUCGGCAAUACGUGUCAAAAGAUCUUGGUCAUUUUGUUUCAUAGUUAACAGUCAAGGAUUUUCAAAUUCAUGAGAAGAAAAGUACGAUUUUUUUGGCUGAAUAAAAGUUUAGAAGAGGGGAGGCUACACCAUCUUAGAGUUAGGACAUAUCAAAGUUUUCUUGAGGAUUUACAGAGGGGGUUUUAGUCUUUUUUUUUUGUUUUUACAGAUUAUCCCCCAAAAAGAAUUUUCGGCAACAGAACCCGAAUCUAAGUCUUGAUAGCAAAGAGAAUGAUCCUUAUCAACUCAACCAACCCUCGUUGACAGAGAAGUAAGAUUUUCAAUUGGUACGGAUGAUUGUUGAUAUAAGUGUUGUUGAUAGAGAAUCCCAAGUAUAAAUGGUAAAUUCUCUUAAUCAUUUGAGCAACAAAUUCUUUAUAAGUAAUUUGACUGAUUGAUUAUUGAUUGCAAUAAUGGUAAGUGUAAAUAAAAAUUGAGUAGUAUUUAAUGGAAAAUGACAUGACAGUAUUUUACUAGUUGAAAAUAGAACCAAGUUGUCGGUGUAGAUAAAAACAAAUGAUUCAGUCUUCCAAAAUGUGGAGAUUUGAAUUUGUGUUCGUCUAGCAUUAAUCUUUUAAAAAGAUUUUGGAUUUUUAUGUGAAUUUAAGUUAAUUUGAGUCUACAUUAUGCGUUCCAUGGUCUAUAUAAUUUAGACUGGUUUAAUUUUCCACAUUGAAUGACUUUUGUAUGUGGACUUUUCCCCCCAUCUUUCUUUAUUAUUGUCCUCUCCUCCGUUGUCGUUAGUUUUGUCACUUAUCAUCCUUGUGGUGUGAUGAUAAUUGGAAACGAGUGUUUCUAUUCUCGUUUCCCAAGCUAUGUUAUUAAAAUCUAACAUGAUUUGCAAAGGAUUCAUUAGGGUAGUAAUUUGGAGUAUUUAUUUCCUCAGGUAAGUUCUGGGUUCGAGUCGUAGUAUCUGUGUAGUGUGUGAGAGUUUAGCAUGCUAUUGCCCCUCUCAAUAGGAAAGGUCCUAAAAAAAAUCUAACAUGGUUUAUAUUGGUAUCAGGACUCUUCCAAUGGGACUACUGAGGGAACUGAGGCCAAGCCAUUGAUAUGUCAGCUUAGCGUUAAUGAAGAAAUAAAUAUAUUUGCUAACCAAGGUGGUAUGGGACUAGUGUGUAAGUAAAUGCCUUCUUCAUUGGGCUAGACUCUGUUAGCAUUAGGCAUUAAAACUUAAUAUCUCUUCCAACGGUGAAAAAAGAUGUAUCACUGAAUCACUAUAGGUACGGUAUUAUUUCACUUUCAUCUUUUACUAUCUAUUUUCAACGUACUAUAUCACUAUUGGAACAAUGCAAAAUUUCUGGAAUCAAUUAGGGAACAAAGGUGUGAAUAUUAUAUCUCCGUUCCCUUUUGUAAUAAAAUAUGUAUAGAGUUGAGCAAUGGUCACAAAAUUCGUUGCUUUCCAAUAGAUUGCUAUUUCAUUUCUGGUUAAAUCGUCUUGUAGUGGAAAAAACUGAGUCUUCAGCAGCCGCGUUUCUUGAUUUCUCUCAUGGAUUUGGUGAAUUUGAUGGCUGCUUGCGGACCAAUUAGCCGAAGGACAUGUGCUCUCUAUCUAACCCCGUCAUAGUCUGUAUAGCUCUACCUAAAAGGUAAAAAUCAGAGAAAGGAGAGAUCGGACUUGCGACCAAAUAUAUAGUGAGACACAUUACAAGAUUCUUGAAAGAUCUUGAGCCUCUCGAUCUAAAUUGGUUUUGAUUUGGAUGUUCAUAUUUUAUAUUCUAUAUAUAUAUAAUAACGUAAUAUAUUUACUAAUCUUGUUUUUACAGAAAAUUGUUAAGGAUUAUUGCAAAACGAAAGUGUAUUUGUUUAUUUGUUUGGGUUAUUCCCACAAUGUUCAUCCCACCGCCGCGUAUUUUGCUUUCUCUAUAGUGGUUAGGUCCAUUCACGUCAAUAUUAUAUUCAAUCUAAUUUUAGCUUUCAAUUACCAGUGUCCACUCGGUUUUCUUGACGUUUUGAUGUCAUGUAUUGGACCCGAAUAUCGGAUAUCAUCUGUCUCUUCCGCUGAUGAAGGGAUAAAUGCCAUCGAAUCAGAAGAUCUUACUUUUCCAAGGGGGCUUUUCUCUUGUCUCCUCCCAAUCUUCGUCGACUAAGAUCUUACUUUUCUUUUUCUUCUUUUAUAUUUCUACCUUCUUAAUCACUGUACGAAGGGAGAAUUUAUCAAAAAUAGCUAAAAUUUGACUCUUAAUUUCAAAAAUGUUAAUUUUUGUAAAAAUUUCAAUAUAACAGAAAACUCACUUAAAUAGAUACAAAUGUCCUUAAAUUUAAAACUUACAUAAACCUAAAAAAGAAACCUUAUUAAAUAAAACUUUGAAAUAUUUCCUCCAAACACUUUUCCAAUCACCUCUAUUUCUUUUUCUCUUUUUUUUUCCUUCUUCCGUUUGUCUCCAGCAUCACUCCCUCUCUUUUCCUUUUUUUUUUUCUUUCUUCUUCUCUCCACAUAUAUAUAUAUAUAUAUAUAUAUAUAUCUAUCUAUCUAUCUCUCUCUCUCUAUCUCUCUCUCUCUCUCUCUCUCUCUCUCUCUGUGCAUAUCUCUAUUCUUCUUCUCUCCCAUUUUCUCCAAAUAAAAUGUAUGUAUUUAUUUGGCAAAAAAAAAAGUAUUUAGAACCAAAAAUUCAGAAAAUGAUUGAAUCAAUGCACAAGUAUAAUUUCCUCCUCUCACCCAAAAAAAAAUAUUUAUUUCACAUAACUUUAAUUCUUCAAAAACUGUCACAAAUUUAGAGGUAGUCUGUAGAACAAAAAAUUCAAUAAAACGAUCUACAUUAAAAAAAUAUAUAAUUAAAUAUUCAUUCAUUACAAUUCAUAAAGUUAAAGAGAAAAAUAUUACACCAGUCCGUCUAUGAGGUAGGAUGAAGUGCAAUUGAAUUCUUGGAAGUUUGUCAAUAAUGGCCAAUUGAACCACAUCUUGAACACUUACGAGUUGAUGGUUCUUCUCCUCGUGAUGGGAUUCUCUUUUCCUCAAGCCUGCCGUGCCUUCUUCGUGUAAUUGGUGGUAGCACAAUUCUAUCUCGUACAUCAUCAAGCACCACCCAAUCUGUUUGAUCCCCAACUAGCCAUAUAGAUUCUGCAUCCGCAAUUACCAAUGAGUUUGUAGUAUAAUAUUUUGAACACAUUGGGUAGCACGAAAUUUGUCAAUGCGUACAUGCAGCACAAGCAUCUUCUGCUACACAUAUGUCAGAAUCAUCAUAUUACUAGACUCAAUAAUUUUCCAAGCCUAUCAGCACUAACCUUUGAUGCAGGCUCAAAGUGAAUUGACGAUAUUAAAUCAUAGCACUUUGAAUAGGGCUCAAGAGUCCAUUAACAGAAAUGUCGCAACUAUGGACAUUAAGUUAGCAAAACCAGAAUUGAAAUUUUAUAAAUAUAGUAUGAAGAAUAAACGAAGAAACGAAGUAACGAAGAAGAAAUUGAACGAAGAACCAAAGAAGAACAGCACUCUACGUACAAAGAUUCUCAAUCUAAUAGGGUUUUGUUUUUUAGGUUUAUGUUGGUUUUAAAUUUAAGGGUAUUUGUGUCUAUUUAGGUGAGUUUUCUUCUAUAUUUGAAAUUUUUUAUAAAAACUAACAUUUUUGAAAUUAGGGGUCAAGUUUUGGCUAUUUUUGAUAAAUUCUCAUACGAAGGAUUAUCUUUUAGGUGUGAACCUUAAAACACCAUUGGAUGAGAUUUAUGAUUCGUGUAGGAAAAAAAAAUCAAAGGAAGAAUGAGGAGAGCGAUGUUGAAGAAUAUUGAAGUCCCACAUCAGAAACUUAACAAAAUAAUCAAAUACUCCAUAUAAUGAAUGAUUCCACUAUUAAUAAUAUCGAGACUUUUUGUAUAAAAUUUCACAACUGCUAAACAAAUGGUUAAAUUAAAGACAAUAUUGAUAUUAUUAGUAGUGGGUCAUGAGUCCCGAAUAAUUCAAGGGUCAUGAGUCCCGAAUAAUUCAAGGGGAUGGUUUGAAAAAUUCAAUCUAAUUCUGGCUUUCAAUUACUAGUAUCCACUCGUUUUUCCUGAUGUUUUGAUGUCAUGUACUGUUUGAUUUUCAAACUAAUUAUGGGAUGGUUUGAAAAAUCAAACUAAUUAUGGGAUGGUUUGAAAAAUCAAACUUAGAGAAAGCAACCCUUACUGCCUAGAAAAAGAAAAAGGUUAGCCGGCCCUAACUUCUCGUUAAGGAUAAAAAUUUGAACCGGCAAAUCAGUGAACCGGAACCGAAUCUGCAUGAACUGGCUAUAUUUAUAUCUAGUUUUUAAUUUAUUUUUACAGAUGUCUUGUUCUCAUUGUUUUUUUUUUUUGACCUUUCCUAUUGAAAGGGGCGAUAACAUAUUAAACUCACACACACAACACGGAUGUCUUGUUAUCAUUGUUGAUUCUAUACAAUUAGUACAAAGUAAUUUAACAAACAAAGCAAUUUUCUAAAACGGUCCUCCUUUUUUCUCCUUCUAUGGUUUGGUCCUCCUAAUCUAUUCACGGCAAUACUUUGGGCACUGAGGUGAUUGAGCAUAGCCAUUGACAAUAAUACAAUUUAAAGUCUUAAACUCUAUACUUAGCUUAGGGUUAAGUAUUCCAUUAGUGGCAGAAUGUUAAGGCUAAAUAUACGCUAUCUUAAAAAGUCAACCACAAUUAUAUAUGUAACGCACUAUAAAUAUAAAAUGGGGUUAAUGACCUAAAUGGUCUUUCAACUAUUGCUCCAUUAUCAUUUUGGUCCACCAACUAAAAUUUUCAAUUCAAACGUCCUCAAACUUUUUAUUUUGUACCAAGAUGGUCCAUCCGUGACAGAUUCUGUUACUUCUGAUCACGCGAUGGCCACGUGACUGAGUUUUGAAGGGUAUAUGCAACUUUUUGAGAAGCUUUAUCGAAGGGUAUCACUAAAAUGGUCCAUCAACUGUUGCUUCAGUAUCAUUUUGGUCCACCAACUAAAAUUUUCAUUUGAACUGUCCUUCUACUUCUUUUUUUUUUCUUUUUUUUUUGUUAUCAAGAUGGUCCUACUAUCAAAGUCCAUCAAUUUUAUUGUUAUUUAAUUUUGUAUUUAUCUUAUUUUAAAAUUUUUAAUUAAUUUAAACAAUAGAGAAAUAAAUAUUACUUUUUAAGUCCAUGUCAUAAAAUAAAAAAAGCCAUGUUGGUGGUGAGAUUCAAUUUUUUCAAUUUUAAAAUUAGGUACAAGUUCCUAUAAUAGUUUCCUUUAAUUUUAAUUAUUAUUUUCUCUUUUAAAAAAUUUGUUAUUAUAUAUAUGUGAUUUUAAUUAAUUUAAACAAUAGAGAUUUUAUUAUUAAUUGUUAGGUCAGUGUCAUAAAAAAAAAAAAGCCAUGUGGCUAGUGAGAUUCAAAUUUUUAAAAUUUUUUAAGUUUUAUAAUAGUUUCCUUGAUACCAAAAAAAAAAAAAAGAGUUGAAGGAUGGUUCAAAUGAAAAUUUUAGUUGGUGGACUAAAAUGAUACUAGAGCAAUAGUUGGGGGACCAUUGUGAUCAAUAACCCUUUUAGAAGAGGAUACUCACCUAAAAAUACGGUUUUGUCCCUCGAUUUCACGGAAUAAUACACAGACUUUGACAGAUGGACCAUCUUGGUACAAAAUAAAAAGUUUAAGGACGUUUGAAUUGAAAAUUUUAGUUGGUGGACCAAAAUGAUAAUGGGAGCAAUAGUUGGGGGGACCAUUUAGGGUCAUUAACCCAUAUAAAAUCGUUAAGGGUAAUGUUAUACUAGAUCCCGAGUCUAUGCAUUUAGAGUCCACGCAUUUACCCGUAUUUGACUUCAUAUCAACCAUUACAAAGAUCCAACGACUUAAAAUAUGAUAGAUCAUUAUUACAUCAUAAAGUUUUAUUUUUCUAACUGACGUUACUGUUACCAUUUCCUCAAAGCCUUUCUCCCUUGCUUGUUCUCUUCCCUCUCUAAUCUCUCUCAAUUUUUGCUUCUCAUGAAUAUCUACUACCCAGCAUCAUAAAUUGAAUUUCCUAUUUUUAGUACAAUUUCAAUCAAUUCCCCCAUUGCCAAUUGGUUUUGGAGUGUAACCUCAACUUCCUUCACUUAUGUCCUCAGGCUCUCUCCAGUUUGUAUUGUUUGCUUUUUGGGUUUUGUGUAGGUGAAGGAAGUUGAUAAUUGAGUCUGAGAGCGUUUAUGGUGGCGAGAAAGCUUUGUUUCAAUGGAUGUUCUUUUUUUGCAAUGUCUGUUGAUUUGGCUUCCUCGUUUUUAGAGAGACAGAGUUAAUGGAAGGACUAAUGUUAGUUUAGGGAAGAAAAAAAAAACUAAAUUUCAUAACCGACACGUGGUAUAAAAUGUAGAGAUGCCAUAUUAUGUGAUAUAAAAAUGUGGUAAGACUAAUAUUAUUGUAACCGUAAUCAUAUGAUUCAAACUUGAAACCUCAUUCAACUAAGUGAAGACAACUACCCAAAAAAUCAUAAACUAAUUGACAUAAAAACUAUUUAUUAUAAACAAAUUUUGAAUCCAUAUUUUCUGUUAAAUAUAGAUGUAGGACUAGGGUUAAGUAUUAAGUUGGAUGAUAUUUUUGUCUUUUUACUAUAAUUAUUCUCUCUGCUGCUACGGGAUGGGUUAAGGCCUCCCUUGCUGCUGUGAUUAAGGUGGAUAAGGUGCAUUCUUUUAUCUAUUGGAAACCUCCUCGCCCUGCUCAGUUUAAACUUAAUGUUGAUGGGUCUAGAUGCACUUCCUCUGGAUGUAUUGGGGCUGGGGUUGUGAUUCGUGAUGCUUAUGGGGGCGGAUUGGUGGUUUUUCAGUGCACCUUGGCCACAGACAUAUCUUGGAUGCUGAAAUUUGGGGGUUAUAUUUUGGCCUUAAGCUUGCUGUGACUAAGGGUAUAAGCUGCCUUAUUAUUGAAAUGGAUGCUGCUGUGGUUGCCCAACUAGUCAAGAAUAUUGAUGGUCUGGCUCACCACCCCUUUGCUUUACUGAUUAAUGUUUGCUGUGCUCUCAUGCAACAAUUUGCAAAUAGUUGCACUCUCCUUCAUAUUUACAGAGAAGGAAAUUGUGUGGCUGACGGUUUGGCAAAUUGGAGUUACAACUUAGACCUGGGUAUCCUUUAUUUUAAUGAAGCUCCAAAUGUGUCAUAUCUUAAUUCAUUAGAUUAUUAGAACGAUGGGUAAAUGCACACUAUCUAAAUGCAGAGGCUCAGAAUCCGCCUAGUUUAAACUUUUAAGCUAUUUAUAUAUAUAUAUAUAUUUUAUAGAGAUGGACCAAUCAUAUUGAAUUAAAAAAUAACUAUAGUAUUUAUGAUUCCCUAAACUAUGGAGUAUGAUUAGAGUUCAAAUUUGGUAGAGAACUCCUAAAAUAACUUUUAUGUGUUUUUAGCUAAAUUUUAGACACACAAAACUGACCACAUUAGCCGACCACCUUAUGUGGCAGCUGAUGUGGUCAUGCCAUAUUUUUAUCUCACAUUUCCAUACCACAUAAUGUGGCAUGUCCAUAUCAUAUGCCACAUCAAUUAAAUCAAUAGAGUGUAUUUUAAUUAAGACAAUUAGAAAAAAAAAUACUGGAAUAAAUCAUAAAAGAAAAGAAAAUAUUAAAUACUUUUAAUUGAUGUGGUUAUCCACCUCAGCUGCCACAUAAGAUGGUAUAAGGAUGUAGUAUACAAAUAUAGUAAGAGUAGCAUUAUUCUUUCAAUAUAGUAAUCAUCGUUUAGAGAAAGAGUAAGGCUACACUUACUAUAUUUUUAUACCACAAUCCUAUACUAUAUGAUGUGGCAAUCCACAUAAUUAAGCUGACACGUUAAUAAAUUGUGAUAAAAGGUAUUUAAUAUAUUAUUAAUAAUAAUAAUUAAUAUAAUAUAUUAUUAAUUCAACAAACAAUUUAGGGUUAAGUCUUUAUUUAUUUAUUUAGUUCGCAUAAUAGGGUUAAGCCUUUUAUUGAUGUUCUAUUAUGUUCGUCUCUUUCUCUUGCCAGUUUUUUGGUCGGCUUGUUAAUAAAUCACCUACUGUUUUUUUUUUUUUUUAAAAGAAAAAGAUUUCAUUCAUAAGCCAAAACGGCAUACAAAGACUGACAUUAAUUCAUUAGCCUCAUUAAUACCUUCAUAGGAAAACCACUUAGGAUAAACCCCAAGGUAGGAAAGAGUACCACCUAUGUCAAUGACUAACAAGAGAGUUUGACCCAGACCACAAAAGACAGUUACAAGAACAGAAAAAAAAAUCCAACUAAACACCAACAGAGUGGACUCAACUGUCAAAAGAAGCCUUCUAUGAAAAAAACUCUUAGUCCUUUGACUGCCCAUGAACUGCAAAAACACACCAAGGAUAGAAACCCAAGAGAGCAUACGGAGGAAGAGCACAAAAAAAUAACAAGAGAGGCCCUGAAAAGCACCCCAACUCAACUUAGAACCUGACAAAGAAACUUCUAUGACCAAACAUAGGUCUUCGGGCAGCGCAGAGCAGAGACGAGCUGCAAAGGAGCAACAUAACAAUGGAAAAUGACAGCAAAACAGAACACAUCCCAACAACUACCAUCAGUGUCUGUCGCUGCCAUCAAAACAUAGACAAAACAUUAGCCACCAGGUAUCACAACGCUCCCGAAAAAAGAUCAAAUCCAGCGUCACUACUGCUGCCGUCAUCGAGACAGAGACAACACCAGCCACUUACACCACUGCAAAAACAACUAAAUAAAACAAACAGACCUAGAUCCAAACAUAUCAAGGCUAAAAACCCAAGAUCUAAUUAGAUUUGGGAGGAGAAGAGGAAGGGGAUAGAAGGGCCAGCAAGAGCCCCUAGGAAAGUGGGAAGAGAGGGAGAGAGGAGGAAAUGGAGGGAAAAAGAUGGGAAAAGAGGAGAUGAAGGGAGAUGAUGGGCAGUGGCCACCUCCCAUAGCUUAGGAAAGGGUGGUUGUCGGCAAGGAGAAAGAGGGAGGGUUUUGGCUAGGGUUUACUUUGCUAUCUCUUUUGCGUAGCAAUAAAUCACCUACCGUAGGAGUUGCAUAAAAUCCGAUUGCAAAUCCUAGAACUCCCAAAAUCAGAUCGAAUCGUGGCUUAAUUAGCAUCUAU